GAUGAACGCUAGCGGGAGGCCUAACACAUGCAAGCCGAGCGGUAUUGUUUCUUCGGAAAUGAGAGAGCGGCGUACGGGUGCGUAACACGUGUGCAACCUGCCUUUAUCUGGGGGAUAGCCUUUCGAAAGGAAGAUUAAUACUCCAUAAUAUAUUGAACGGUAUCGUUUAAUAUUGAAAGCUCCGGCGGAUAGAGAUGGGCACGCGCAAGAUUAGCUAGUUGGUGAUGUAACGGCUCACCAAGGCGAUGAUCUUUAGGGGGCCUGAGAGGGUGGUCCCCCACACUGAUACUGAGACACGGGCCAGACUCCUAGGGGAGGCAGCAGUGAGGAAUAGUGGUCAAUGGGUGCAAGCCUGAACCAGCCAGCCCGCGUGAAGGACGACUGCCCUAUGGGUUGUAAACUUCUUUUGUAUAGGGAUAAACCUACCCUCGUGAGGUAGCUGAAGGUACUAUACGAAUAAGCACCGGCUAACUCCGUGCCAGCCGCCGCAGUAA
Molecule: ribosomal RNA, 494 nt
Filed under: uncultured bacterium
Lineage: Bacteria
Description: partial 16S ribosomal RNA
Rfam family: Bacterial small subunit ribosomal RNA
Source: RNAcentral